GCAGCAGCCGCGGGAAUACAGAGGGUGCGAGCGUUAAUCGGAUUUACUGGGCGUAAAGCGUGCGUAGGCGGCUAAUUGAGUCGGAUGUGAAAUCCCCGAGCUUAACUUGGGAAUUGCAUUCGAUACUGGUUAGCUAGAGUGUGGGAGAGGAUGGUAGAAUUCCAGGUGUAGCGGUGAAAUGCGUAGAGAUCUGGAGGAAUACCGAUGGCGAAGGCAGCCAUCUGGCCUAACACUGACGCUGAGGUACGAAAGCAUGGGGAGCAAACAGGAUUAGAGACCCCUGUAGUCCCUGUCUCUUAUAC
This 302-nucleotide ribosomal RNA is filed under the name uncultured bacterium. RNAcentral describes it as "partial 16S ribosomal RNA". It matches the Rfam family "Bacterial small subunit ribosomal RNA", at positions 508 to 807 of the family's 1533-position model. The record is from RNAcentral.